UACGUAGGGUGCAAGCGUUAAUCGGAAUUACUGGGCGUAAAGCGUGCGCAGGCGGUUAUGCAAGACAGAUGUGAAAUCCCCGGGCUCAACCUGGGAACUGCAUUUGUGACUGCAUGGCUGGAGUGCGGCAGAGGGGGAUGGAAUUCCGCGUGUAGCAGUGAAAUGCGUAGAGAUGUGGAGGAAUACCGAUGGCGAAGGCAGCCCCCUGGGCCAAUACUGACGCUCAUGCACGAAAGCGUGGGGAGCAAACAGG
Molecule: ribosomal RNA, 253 nt
Filed under: uncultured bacterium
Lineage: Bacteria
Description: partial 16S ribosomal RNA
Rfam family: Bacterial small subunit ribosomal RNA
Source: RNAcentral